This 401-nucleotide ribosomal RNA is filed under the name uncultured bacterium. RNAcentral describes it as "bacterial SSU rRNA". It matches the Rfam family "Bacterial small subunit ribosomal RNA", at positions 356 to 773 of the family's 1533-position model. The record is from RNAcentral.
AGGGAAUCUUGCGCAAUGAGGGAAACCUUGACGCAGCGAUGCCGCGUGUGGGAAGACGGCCCUAGGGUUGUAAACCACUUUCAGCAGGGACGAAAUUGACGGUACCUGCAGAAGAAGCCCCGGCCAACUACGUGCCAGCAGCCGCGGUAAUACGUAGGGGGCGAGCGUUGUCCGGAUUUAUUGGGCGUAAAGAGCUCGUAGGCGGUUCAGUAAGUCAGAUGUGAAAACUCAGGGCUCAACCCGGAGACGCCAUCUGAUACUGCUGUGACUCGAGUCCGGUAGAGGAGUGUGGAAUUUCUGGUGUAGCGGUGAAAUGCGCAGAUAUCAGAAGGAACACCAAUGGCGAAGGCAGCACUCUGGGCCGGUACUGACGCUGAGGAGCGAAAGCGUGGGGAGCAAAC